GCGCUCGCGCCCGCGCUGACAGCUCGCGAACCGACUGCUGCCGGCCGAACCGCCCCGAACAGGGAAGUGCACGGGGAAUUCCAUCGCGCGCCGCGGCCGGGGGACGCGACCGCGCGACCGGCCCAAGCCGCGCUCCAUGUCGCUCCGCCGCGCCCCCACCCCGGGACACACAACAAACAACGAUCUGUGGGACCGCAGGGCCUCCGAGAAGCCCGAGAUCUCCACGCACAAAGUCCACGAUGCGCGCCCCGCGACUCUCGUCCCCUGCCCAGCCUCUUCCAGUGGUGCGCUCCACAAUCGGGCCUCUUCCAUCGGCUCUGCAGCCCGGGGUGAGCGCGCAGGCCGGACCAAACCAUCCGGCUGGAGCCUCCCCAGGCUGCCUUCCACGAUUGGUCAGAAACCAUUUUGGAAGUGGGCAACGGGAACUCGUUUUCACCGGCGAGCUGGAACCUGGAGAGCUGGCACCAGAUACUCUCCUGAUAACGGGGUAGUUGUGUCUGUGGGCUUUUAAGCUUUGGAAUCUUUGAACUGGGUGGUUCUGUGCGCGGAGGUCAUCCGAUGCUUUGUAAGUUAGGGUGGACGCCCGCCUCUUUAAUGCCAUCAGUAUUCACUAUCCCCAAAACUGUCUCCAGACGGGAGCGGUUGUUCCCCCAGGAGGAGAAAAACCGCCCAGUUGAAAAUGACCGUUUUGUCUGAAUUCCCAACUCGGCUAUAAUUCAAAGCGUUUGCCGUGAAGGUUUAUUCCGCAUCAGUCUCCUUAAGCUAGCCAUUCAGAUUCAGGAUUGUGGCCCAAAGGACUAAUGGAGAAUCCAGGUUGGCUCACAAUAUGCACAAGUAAAAUUCAUUCUUUGGGUUACGACUUCAGGCGCUCUGUCUUCUCGACACAAGGAAGAACGAAGCAAGUGCUGUGUCUGCCCAGAUGUUUACAACUGCCACGAAGUCGUCCAGUGCAACCUGCAAGCACCCCCUCUUCCUUAUUGGCUCUAGCUACACAACCUUAGCUUUUCAGAUGAGAACGAUGGUUGUCCACGAAUCCUGACUGACCUAGUGCAUUCUCCUCGGGUGCAGGGUCAUUGGAGAGUGAAUGAGGCUAAUACAUAAAGUAGUACCUAAAAGCUCUAAUGGAGGACUGCGUGGCAACUAUCAAUCACAUUAAACAGGACCCGUGCUUCUAAGGCCUCUUAUGGACAUGACUAAAUGAACUUAACUGUUGUCUCCCGGGAGAUUAUAUGUAUAAAAUUUCUAUCACAAAAAAAA
Molecule: long non-coding RNA, 1257 nt
Filed under: Mus musculus (house mouse)
Lineage: Eukaryota; Metazoa; Chordata; Mammalia; Rodentia; Muridae
Description: RIKEN cDNA 4930515G01 gene (4930515G01Rik)
Source: RNAcentral